Long non-coding RNA from Stylophora pistillata, 748 nucleotides. The record is from RefSeq and is a predicted model, not a curated record. NCBI's taxonomy places the organism in Eukaryota, Metazoa, Cnidaria, Anthozoa, Scleractinia, Pocilloporidae.
GCUCGAAGCUUAAGAGCCCCUCAGCUUCUCAGAAGCUUUUUACAUCGCUUACUGAUAUAAAGAAAUAAGAUGGAAGGAAGAGAGGCUUCAAAAUGUGGAGACCAUGUUUCCCAGGUGCUUGCCAGAUGUCAAGUUGCCAGCAAGAGAUCCAAUUGAUGAGAGUGUGACAGUUGAAUAUCUCAAGCCCAGGAUUGAUGGUGCAGAGUACUGAGAGAUUGAUGAUGACUGACAACAACACUGCAAAUGAAAGGUGACUUAUUUUUUGGUACAAUGGUAUUCUAUCAAAUUUUAAAUAUUUGGAUUUGGGUACAGCUGGCUCUGGGUUGUCAUCCUAAAUGCUAGCGGAGUUUUUUUCACCCAGCUGUUGGCCCACCACCCUCUUUAAAGAAGUCACAUAAUUGGGGAGGCAUUAAAAGAGGACUUUGAUAUGUGAAGCUCAGACCUCUACUUGGCUCCAUGGCUUAUAACUGCCCAUAUUGAUAAAUGGUUUUUGGUGUGUGCCUCUCCUUGUGCAUGGAUAAACUGAGUCAAGAUGUGAAUUGAUAUAAGGCAUGUCCCCAUGGAGCUCAUUGAGACAAUGGUUUAUUUGAAGAUUGUAGUUAAAGAGGAAUAGUUUAUGUCUACCGGGAUUGAAGCUUUCAAGACGAUACGAUGAUAUACUGCUUACAGGUUUCUUCUACAACCCAAAGCUGGAUACCAAGGAACACGAUCACCUUAAGAAUGAGACCAGAGAUAAAUAUAAAUCUUG